Long non-coding RNA from Neofelis nebulosa (Clouded leopard), 2600 nucleotides. RefSeq lists it as uncharacterized. NCBI's taxonomy places the organism in Eukaryota, Metazoa, Chordata, Mammalia, Carnivora, Felidae. The transcript is spliced from 2 exons. The record is from RefSeq and is a predicted model, not a curated record.
UCAUAUUCUAAAUAGUGAAUUCCUGGAUGCAAAUACACAAGCCGUAUUAGCACUAAUGGACUUACGUAUUUGCACCAAGGAAAGAACACACAUCUAGAAACCUGUUCUCUGCUGCUCAUAGGCAAUCAUGGUGCAUUUUCUCUUGUGGACAAAAUAAAAAUGCAUUGCUAUUUAUGUGGAACCAUUCAGGUGUUACAGGCAUUUCUAUAACGUCCAAGAAUGCAUUGGCCAUGACCAACUAAAGUCGUUUUUGGCUUAUCAUCAUUCAAGCUGAAUUAAUAAUAUUAAACAGCAUGUGGGAUGAGGGAAAACACAGUGCAGAGCAACAUUAAAAUCCCUUUCCACCCAAGCAUAAUUCAUUUUGAUCUUUACUACUUGAUUCAGCUAAAGGUCAAACCAUAUAUGAUGGUUUAGAUCCAGAAAAUAUAUUAUUUCGCUGUGCAGUAUGGUCUGAAAUGAGGGCAACUAAUUUAAAAAUGGAUGCAAUUUGGAAAAUAUAAAUGUAAUGAAAAAUGCCUCCAUUAUGAAGUAUAUAAAUUAAGUUCUACUAUUGAUUACUGCCAACAUUUAAAAUCUCUCCACUCAUACUGGUAAUGCCUUUAGUGUAACUUAAUUUUCUUCCUAUUGUGUCGAUGCCUCAAUGAACAUCACUCUGGUGAGGGACCAAACACAGGUCAGAAAUGUUAGUGAUGAUAAAUUACAGACCUUAAUAACUUUUGAACAGUUUUAAAUGUACAAGUCAUCUAGGAGUCAUUUAGCUCGACAGAUGAAUGGUUAACGAACUACAUACACUAAUAAGAACCAUGUGUUAGUCUGUACCACUACAUGGCAUAAGGCCAAGAUCUAAUAAAGAAUAAAACUGGGCUUUGGAGCAUAUACAACUGGAGAAAGAAAAAAAGUGAAUUACCUUAUUAAAAGACUGUAUGAGCAAAAAUCGCUCAUGAAUUUAUACAAAUAAUUUAUGAGCACAAAGGCUUUACUAAAAGACUGGCCAGAUUCAUAACUGACAGACGGAUGAAAUGUGACCAGGUUUGGGAUAGGGAAAAAACAGGCAAUGAGUAGAUUCAGGUGUUUGCUUGGUCAUUUGGUAUUUUUGCUUUCAAUGAAAGGGGGUGUGAAAAUCUUCAUCUUUCUUGCAGACUGUUUGGACUGGGGCUUUUGUACUUUACGUGUUACUCCCAUUUUUGGCUCUUGGGUGAGUCACAAGCAACAUGGGCUGCCCUCCAACAUCCUCCUGAGGGACAUCCACAGAGCAGGUUCUGGAAGGAACCCAAAUCAGUCCAACUCCAAGAAGUCUAAAGCAGUUCUAAUAUGGAGAGACUUAAGAAUCAAGCUAAAAGAGGCACAGAUUGAACAAGUGAUAGUUUCCCCAUUACUGAAUUAAAACUGACAGGUGACAUCUUGCCUGGUGUAACAGUGAAGAAAUCUUCACUAAUCCACCCACUUCAGUCAUUUCUCAAGAGUCAUCUGCCUGCCACCAUAUCACAAUCGCCAAGGCAGCUUGUUUAAAAUCUGUACUCCUACUAAAUUACCUGCCAGGCCUCUGGUAAUAAGAUCGCCAGUCUUUUACAAGCAGCCCUGGAGAUCCUCGGGAGCCCUGAAGCUUGCAAGCUCCGGUGCUGGGAGGCAGGCCCAGGUGGUUCUUCUUUCCACCACACGUGCACGGCUCCCACGGCUCCUCUCACUUCCCACCAUCACACCUACGGUGCACACGUCAGCAAUACAAGACGCACCAGACUCUUUAAGAGCAGCAUGAAUGAACGGAUAAAUGCGCGAAUGAGAAAGUUAAUAGUAUUUCUGAAACAAAACAGGAAUUCUGAUUCCAUUAGAGUUGGCUCUACAAAUCCAUUCACAGCCUUCUAAAAAUCCCCACAGAGCUCCAAACUACUCACUCUAUAUAUUUGGCAGUAUGAUCUGAGCUUCUCAAAUACUGAUCACAGCAAACUGUGGAAAAAAGAAAGAAGAGGAAAUGAAAAGCACUGAUUCUGAGUUCUCAGAAACGUCAUGAUGCUGUGCUGCUCUCUACCCUGCAUAGCUGGCUGGCAGACACCGCCGUGGUCCCAAAGCACAUCUGCUGCGAAAGCUGUUGCUUAGCAACAGCAAUCAAUGCUGUAUUUCCUCUUCACCAUUUGCCUAAAGAUUGAGACACUGCUUCAAGGUAUUAUUUUCAAAUACCUUCUGUUUCACUGACCAAACAUGUUUGUUAAUUUUUCUAUUAUGCGAAAAGAAAUCGGGAACCAAAUCAGCAUAGGAAUUCAAGAAAAAAGAGAGAAGGUUUCUACCUUGCUAAAGAACGUUUCUGCUGAGCUUUCUAGUCUUCAUUCACUCCAAUUAAACUGCAGUGAUUCACCAGUUAUUACCACCACAGCCAUACACGUGUUGAAGAGAAGAUCAUGAUUAUAAUCUGCACAAUUACCGACGGCUAGAUAGCAUGCCUACACACGGUGUUUUGAAAAACAGCUUCAUUUCCGAUGGAGAUCAGGACAGCAAUAAAAGAGUUCCACAGUCUCUUCACUAAAUAUAUCUUUGUUUGCAUGGUCUGUGUAUACUGUCAUGGGGCAGGUGCGGGAAAAUGUAAAAUAUAAAUAUUUAAAAUCCAA